GUUACAGACAGUUGUUAGCUGCCAUGUUGGUGCUGGGAUUCGAACCCAGGUCUUCUGCAAGAACAGCCAGUGUUUUUAACUGCUGAGCCGUCUCUCCAGCCCAUUCUGCUGUAGCCCCUCCGCCUGGUGUUCCCACCUGUAUAUUUGGCUCACAGAAAUGCUUGGUCUUCACAUCCUUUCUGACCUGCCAAAGUGUUGUUCCUGAUGGUCUGGGUACCUUUCUGCACUACUAUGGCGCUUCCAUGGCAAGAGGCCACAGGCUCAGUGGCUAAGACAACAGAAAAUUACUUUCUUAAAGUUCUGGCAGUUGGAAAUCCUCAACUAAGGAGUUACAGGUCUGGCUCCACCUGUGGUUCCUCUCCUUGGCUUGCAGAUGUUGGACAAGACCCCACAGAAAAUGUCAGCCACAGUGGAAAAAUGCAGUUCAACACUGCCAGCAGCAGCCUGGGGAGUUUGUUCUCCCCUUAGAGACCUCCACUCAGGUAGAGCCAGAUCCUUGGCUAUGCCAGAGAAAUGGCAGCACAAGAAAGGGGGGUUAAAAUGAGUGAGUUUAAGUAUUUAAGAAGAGGACAGUAUAUAAUCCCAACACAUGAAUGUGAGCCUCUUGAGAGUCAUAUUCAGUCACACCUUACAAUGACUAUAUUUAUGAUUUUGUGGCUAAGUUAUAUGCUCAAUUAAAGAUUGAGCAAAUUUAAAUGAAGUUUAAAAGUUGGUUACAAAUAUAUUAUCUGGUUUACUUAUUUCUCCUAUCAAAGCAUUUCUUCUUGUAAAUGAAACUGUAAGGUGGUUUAUAUGAGGUGCUGUUUAGAUUUAGAGAUGAGAGAGGAGGGCUAAUACCUAAAGCUCAAGAUUAUACCCAUUCUAGCCAUGAGUGACCAUAGUUCACUUAUUGUUUUUAACCUCUUUGUUUGAGAUGUCUUUAGGAAAACACACAUCAUCUCUGUUGGUAAUUUUGGCUUUAUUGGUUGUAAUGUUUCUUGACUCUCAGCCAGUAGGAAAGGCAAACUAGAUCCCAGGUGAAGGCUUAUCCCCUCCUCAUGCUCCCUUCAUUCUCCGUCUUUCUAUCCUGCCUGUGAUGACAGGCUGGCAUAGCCAUAUCCAUCACCUCACUACGUGACCUGUUUUCUAGUCCAGGUGUUUUACCCUUCAUUGAUCUGACGUGUUCGAUAAGUUCUUGGGUCUGGUUUUUCUGAUGUGGCUCUAAUCUACCCAUGUGUUUGCAACUGAAUUUGAUAAAUUCAUUAAAGUGGUGCCUUUUUA
Long non-coding RNA from Nannospalax galili (Upper Galilee mountains blind mole rat), 1260 nucleotides. RefSeq lists it as uncharacterized. The transcript is spliced from 2 exons. NCBI's taxonomy places the organism in Eukaryota, Metazoa, Chordata, Mammalia, Rodentia, Spalacidae. The record is from RefSeq and is a predicted model, not a curated record.